GUGCUUGCUUUGGCAGCACCUACACUGCAAUGGGAAAGGGACAGAGAAGAUUAGCAUGGCUGCUGUGUAAGGAUGACAUGCAAAUUCAUGAAGGAUUCCAUAAUUUU
Nycticebus coucang (slow loris) is the source of this 107-nucleotide small nuclear RNA. The record is from RefSeq and is a predicted model, not a curated record. Lineage: Eukaryota; Metazoa; Chordata; Mammalia; Primates; Lorisidae.